This 267-nucleotide ribosomal RNA is filed under the name uncultured bacterium. RNAcentral describes it as "partial 16S ribosomal RNA". It matches the Rfam family "Bacterial small subunit ribosomal RNA", at positions 793 to 1055 of the family's 1533-position model. The record is from RNAcentral.
GUCCUAGCUGUAAACGGUGCACGUUUGCUGUAAAAGGAAUCGACCCCUUUUGUGGCGAAGCUAACGCGUUAAACGUGCCGCCUGGGAAGUACGGUCGCAAGAUUAAAACUCAAAGAAAUUGACGGGGGCCUGCACAAGCGGUGGAGUAUGUGGCUUAAUUCGAUGCAACGCGAAGAACCUUACCUGGCCUUGACAUGCAUAUAGUAGAAGGGUGAAAGCCUGACGAGGUAGCAAUACCAGUAUGCACAGGUGCUGCAUGGCUGUCGU